AACACGAAAUUUAUAGUUAACUAACGAAAAAUGUGCACGCCGCGUUAACCUGCGUUUACUUUAUGUAAUGCUUGGUCUGCACCCAACUGUAUUUUUAGCCCUUACAGACAAUACACAAUUCUAACCAGAGAACAAGAGUGCAUGCUCAUCACUGGGUGUGUAUUUCCAGAUUUAUCUCAUUCUGUAUUAGUAGAGGAUUCUCUUGAAUAUACAUUUCUGUCCUUAUUUUGUAGUUAUCAGAAUAAUUGUUAUAAGGAUAAGUGCUUCUUUAAUCAGAGAUCCAGUAGCACAAAUACAAUGAAAUGAAAAGUUAUUUGAAAGAUAAUUUGCAUUGCAAGGUUAUUGUUUUGAUAAUAUGUACUAAAAUAUCCCUUUUUUUUUAAAUUAAGGUGUGUUCUAUAUUUGGCUUUUGUUAUAAUGUAUAUAGAAUUGAUAAAAAAAAACUACAUAGAAACGUUUCUGCAGCAUAAAAGAUGUUUUUUUUUCUCAAUUUUUUGGUCAGAUAUGUUGUUGUCUCUUUGACACAUUCCCCAUUUCUAUUACUAUUUUAUUUUUAAUUUUGUAAUGUUCAUUGACCUAAUAAAUGUAUUAUUUAACAUGACUGUAUUAUUCAAAGUUUUUUACUUAUCUAGAUUUGUAAGCUCUUGUCUGUGAUACAUUUUUUUAUGCAUUAGAUGAUUGUACAUGUAUGUUUUAUUGUGAAUUUGUUGUUUUAACUUUAUGUACUUCUAUGUAUUAUAUUUUAGAAAUAAGUAUGAUGAUUAAUCUGUUGUAGGCUCAAAUGAAAUUUCCAGGUAAUUUAUAGAGAAUUUUUAAGUUCAGGAGGAAAUCAAAUUACAAGUUAUUAUAAGAUUUGCAUUAAAAAGGAUCUAAAAUACAAAGAGUUCAAAGUCGUAAAUGGAAGAAGGAGUCAAAAGCUAUAGUCAGGGAAAACAUCAAUGCUCAAAGCACUUUACAGAAAAAAGACUACAGAAAAAACAAUCAAAAGUCAGCCAGAAACUGUUUCAUUAAGAAAAAAAUAAGAUCACAGAUCAAUUCUAAGAAUAAGCAACACAAAUUCAACCAAAACCUGGGUUUACUUGGGGGUGUUUAGGAAGGGUUAACACAUCCUUCUCCACUAGUGGCAUAUGACAUAUCCGUCUCUCACAACAUAUAUAGUUUAACAACUUAAUAGACAUCACUUUACUUAUUCACAAUUAUUAAAUUAGUACAACUAUUAUUGGUCCAAUAGCCUGUAUGGCUGUCAGGUAUGUCAUUAUAAAUUUGUGCAUAUUUUUUUUUAGAACUAUACAUCUAAUUGAUAUGAUUUAGCUAAUGUUUGAUGAUUUGUUUAUGAUUUAUACAUGCUUCACAGAUUGAGCAGAAGUUGCAAUAUGUAAAUGUGUUCAUAUAUGUAAUAGAGUUAGUUCCAUGAUACUAAAAUUUUAAAAUGCUGCUCUGAAAUAAACUGUUUGCAAAUUGUUUCAAACUUUUUGUUUAUUUUAGCUAAUUAAAGAUGUGAAGAUAAAUAUCUCAUAUUUUUCAUUACAUGCCACUCUAAAGCACUAGUUUUUAUACGACCACAAACAAUUUUGGGAUUGAUUUUGGGAGUUUUAAGUCCCAACAGUUU
This 1609-nucleotide long non-coding RNA is filed under the name Mytilus galloprovincialis (Mediterranean mussel). The record is from RNAcentral. Lineage: Eukaryota; Metazoa; Mollusca; Bivalvia; Mytilida; Mytilidae.